RNAcentral lists this long non-coding RNA (225 nucleotides) under Fukomys damarensis (Damara mole-rat). Its description in RNAcentral is "lncRNA (ENSFDAG00000024319.1)". The record is from RNAcentral. Lineage: Eukaryota; Metazoa; Chordata; Mammalia; Rodentia; Bathyergidae.
CCCCAACAGAGGAAUGCAGUUCCUAGGACGAUGGCCCUUCCCAGGCCUCUGCCCGUGUCUCAUUUCUUUGCAAGCUACCUUCUGUAAACCUCAUCCUCCCUGUGUACGUUACCUACCGCCUCGGACUGUGGUGAGGACUGAGAUAGGCCAUGUAAAUUCUCUGAUAGGGUGGUUGCCCCAACCCCACACACCUCGGAGACGAUGGAAGAAUCUCCAAGUGCCCGA